Molecule: small nucleolar RNA, 151 nt
Organism: Macadamia integrifolia
Lineage: Eukaryota; Viridiplantae; Streptophyta; Magnoliopsida; Proteales; Proteaceae
Product: small nucleolar RNA snoR137
Exons: 1
Source: RefSeq, a predicted model, not a curated record
GUUGCUUCUUACUGGUGAACUCUCUCAGAUUCAGAAUUGGGGAUGUUCUUGUUUCAGAAGCAUAGAUGAAUUAGAGAAUAUCUUUGCCAGUAUUAAACAGCAUGGUGUGUUCUUUCAUGUUGCACUAUGUUACCUGUCUCCUGGUAUAUUC